Molecule: ribosomal RNA, 292 nt
Filed under: uncultured bacterium
Lineage: Bacteria
Description: partial 16S ribosomal RNA
Rfam family: Bacterial small subunit ribosomal RNA
Source: RNAcentral
GUGUCAGCCGCCGCGGUAAUACGAAGGGGGCUAGCGUUGCUCGGAAUCACUGGGCGUAAAGCGCACGUAGGCGGCUUUUUAAGUCAGGGGUGAAAUCCUGGAGCUCAACUCCGGAACUGCCUUUGAUACUGGCGAUCUAGAGGUCGAGAGAGGUGAGUGGAAUUCCGAGUGUAGAGGUGAAAUUCGUAGAUAUUCGGAAGAACACCAGUGGCGAAGGCGGCUCACUGGCUCGAUACUGACGCUGAGGCGCGAAAGCCAGGGGAGCAAACGGGAUUAGAAACCCCUGUAGUCC